UACAGAGGGUGCGAGCGUUAAUCGGAGUCACUGGGCGUAAAGGGCGCGUAGGCGGCGAUGCAAGUGUGGCGUGAAAUCCCCGGGCUCAACCUGGGAACUGCGCCGCGGACUGUGUUGCUGGAGUACUGUAGAGGGCAGUGGAAUUUCCGGUGUAGCGGUGAAAUGCGUAGAGAUCGGAAGGAACACCGGUGGCGAAGGCGGCUGCCUGGACAGAUACUGACGCUGAGGCGCGAGAGCGUGGGGAGCAAACAGG
RNAcentral lists this ribosomal RNA (253 nucleotides) under uncultured bacterium. RNAcentral's name for it is "partial 16S ribosomal RNA". It matches the Rfam family "Bacterial small subunit ribosomal RNA", at positions 524 to 776 of the family's 1533-position model. The record is from RNAcentral.